GCCGAAGUGGUGGAAUUGGUAGACACGCAAGGCUCAGGACCUUGUGAGGGUCACACCUCGUGGGGGUUCGAAUCCCUUCUUCGGCACCA
Molecule: transfer RNA, 89 nt
Filed under: Pseudomonadota bacterium
Lineage: Bacteria; Pseudomonadati; Pseudomonadota
Also listed under: 1 other name
Description: Proteobacteria bacterium (hot springs metagenome) tRNA-Leu
Rfam family: tRNA
About the family: Transfer RNA (tRNA) molecules are approximately 80 nucleotides in length.
Source: RNAcentral